RNAcentral lists this ribosomal RNA (497 nucleotides) under uncultured bacterium. RNAcentral describes it as "partial 16S ribosomal RNA". It matches the Rfam family "Bacterial small subunit ribosomal RNA", at positions 28 to 507 of the family's 1533-position model. The record is from RNAcentral.
GAUGAACGCUGGCGGCGUGCCUAAUACAUGCAAGUCGAGCGAACAGACGAGGAGCUUGCUCCUCUGAUGUUAGCGGCGGACGGGUGAGUAACACGUGGAUAACCUACCUAUAAGACUGGGAUAACUUCGGGAAACCGGAGCUAAUACCGGAUAACAUGUUGAACCGCAUGGUUCAACAGUGAAAGACGGUCUUGCUGUCACUUAUAGAUGGAUCCGCGCCGCAUUAGCUAGUUGGUAAGGUAACGGCUUACCAAGGCAACGAUGCGUAGCCGACCUGAGAGGGUGAUCGGCCACACUGGAACUGAGACACGGUCCAGACUCCUACGAGAGGCAGCAGUAGGGAAUCUGCCGCAAUGGGCGAAAGCCUGGCGGAGCAACGCCGCGUGAGUGAAGAAGGUCUUCGGAUCGUAAAGCUCUGUUAUUAGGGGAGAACAAAUGUGUAAGUAACUAUGCACGUCUUGACGGUACCGAAUCAGAAAGCCACGGCUAACUACGUG